This 157-nucleotide ribosomal RNA is filed under the name Locusta migratoria (migratory locust). Its description in RNAcentral is "5.8S ribosomal RNA". The stretch from base 1 to 141 matches the Rfam family "5.8S ribosomal RNA". From Rfam's summary of the family: 5.8S ribosomal RNA (5.8S rRNA) is a component of the large subunit of the eukaryotic ribosome. It is transcribed by RNA polymerase I as part of the 45S precursor that also contains 18S and 28S rRNA. Functionally, it is thought that 5.8S rRNA may be involved in ribosome translocation. Lineage: Eukaryota; Metazoa; Arthropoda; Insecta; Orthoptera; Acrididae. The record is from RNAcentral.
GAUCACUCGGCUCGUGGGUCGAUGAAGAACGCAGCAAAUUGCGCGUCGACAUGUGAACUGCAGGACACAUGAACAUCGACGUUUCGAACGCACAUUGCGGUCCAUGGAUUCCGUUCCCGGGCCACGUCUGGCUGAGGGUCGGCUACGUAUACUGAAG